CAGUCGCCGCGGGAAUACGUAGGUCCCGAGCGUUGUCCGGAUUUAUUGGGCGUAAAGCGAGCGCAGGCGGUUAGAUAAGUCUGAAGUUAAAGGCUGUGGCUUAACCAUAGUACGCUUUGGAAACUGUUUAACUUGAGUGCAAGAGGGGAGAGUGGAAUUCCAUGUGUAGCGGUGAAACGCGUAGAUAUAUGGAGGAACACCGGUGGCGAAAGCGGCUCUCUGGCUUGUAACUGACGCUGAGGCUCGAAAGCGUGGGGAGCAAACAGGAUUAGAUACCCGCGUAGUCCCUGUCUCUUAUACA
RNAcentral lists this ribosomal RNA (301 nucleotides) under uncultured bacterium. Its description in RNAcentral is "partial 16S ribosomal RNA". It matches the Rfam family "Bacterial small subunit ribosomal RNA", at positions 509 to 808 of the family's 1533-position model. The record is from RNAcentral.